This 465-nucleotide ribosomal RNA is filed under the name uncultured Klebsiella sp. RNAcentral describes it as "bacterial SSU rRNA". It matches the Rfam family "Bacterial small subunit ribosomal RNA", at positions 338 to 795 of the family's 1533-position model. Lineage: Bacteria; Pseudomonadati; Pseudomonadota; Gammaproteobacteria; Enterobacterales; Enterobacteriaceae. The record is from RNAcentral.
CCUACGGGAGGCAGCAGUGGGGAAUAUUGCACAAUGGGCGCAAGCCUGAUGCAGCCAUGCCGCGUGUGUGAAGAAGGCCUUCGGGUUGUAAAGCACUUUCAGCGGGGAGGAAGGCGGUGAGGUUAAUAACCUCAUCGAUUGACGUUACCCGCAGAAGAAGCACCGGCUAACUCCGUGCCAGCAGCCGCGGUAAUACGGAGGGUGCAAGCGUUAAUCGGAAUUACUGGGCGUAAAGCGCACGCAGGCGGUCUGUCAAGUCGGAUGUGAAAUCCCCGGGCUCAACCUGGGAACUGCAUUCGAAACUGGCAGGCUAGAGUCUUGUAGAGGGGGGUAGAAUUCCAGGUGUAGCGGUGAAAUGCGUAGAGAUCUGGAGGAAUACCGGUGGCGAAGGCGACCCCCUGGACAAAGACUGACGCUCAGGUGCGAAAGCGUGGGGAGCAAACAGGAUUAGAUACCCGUGUAGUC